CCUCCCUGCAUGUUCUGGAGAAAUAUCCAGAACAGAGCAAGCACCCCUGCUUCUGCUGCGUCUGCUGACUUCACCACACAGGCACUGGAGCCUCUUUUCCGGCUGCUUCUGCUAAAUAAUCAAAGGCAGGCACACCAGCUAGACACCUGCCCUCCACGGCCUGCCUCUCGGGGCCUGGGUUCUGAAUGCUUUCCUCACUUGCCCUCUGCUGAGGGGGAAUCCUUGGCUCCCUUUGGCUGCUGGGGGAAUGGACAUGCGGGAAGCUUGGAAGAUCUGUUCAUUCAGCCCACAGGUGGGGGAGCUGAGCCUAAAUCGUCGGCCUGGCUGGAACCACAGCUCGUCACGUGUCCACCCCACGUUGCUUGCUGGUUUGACCUGCAGAACCCUGAGGCUCCCAGGCUUUCCUGCUGCCAGAGCCCCUCCCGGAGCCUGCCUCGACUCACCCACAUGGCCUUACCCAGGGCUGAUGCUCAGCAGGGAGUAAACCCUGGAAUACGUUCAUACUUAGGAAUCCGUAGCCCAAACUGAAUCCAGAGCCACAGGGCUUGCCACAAGCCAUCAGGGAAUGAUCUGCGUGGACAGUGUUCUUGCAGCGCCAGCCCAGAAAUCAUCUGAACAUCGCCCCUGCCCUAGUCUGUCACUAGCUCUGUAGCCUGUUGGGGUCACUGGUCAUUUGCUUUCUUGAUCAUUUUGUAAAAUUGAGAUAAAAUUGGUGCCCCUGGGUGGCUCAGUUGGGCAAGUAUCUGCCUUGGGCUCAGGCCAUGAUUCCAGGGUCCUGGGAACAAGCCCCACAUCAGGAUCCCUGCUCGGUAGGGAGCCUGCUUCUCCCUCUCUUCCACUUGUGUGCUCUCUCUCAUGCUCUCUCUCCAAUAAAUAAAUACAUCUUAAAGAAAUAGAGAUAAAACUAGCCAUUUGAAAGUGUACAACUCAGUGACUUUUCACACAUUCAAUGUUGGGUGACCAGCUCCUCCAUCUAGUUCUGCAGAUUUCUCUAUUAGGAACAUCCUGUGGAAACAGAAUUACACAAUAUUUCUUGUUCUGUGACUUUGUUCUUGUUUCUCACUUAGUAUAAGGUCUUCAGGGCUCCCUUCUUUUCACGGCCCACUAACGUUCCGUUGCGUGGUUACACCACGUUCCCAGCUCAGGAUGCAGACCAGAGGCUCCUGAGCUGUGGUGGCCCCGUGAGAGUGAGCAUGGGAACCUCCCCCACCAAGUGCAGGGGUAUCGAUCUGGGGCCUUGCCAGGCACGUGUGACCACUGUGAUGAAGCAGACUGCGCGUCUCCAGGCCUCUCCAAGGUGCCCCCACAUCCCCCGGAGCUGAUCUGGGACUGUGUGCCUCCGUGAGUCCUGCCUCCCCCAGUGCUGCCAUGUACAGCUGUGCAGGUUGUGCCUUGCCCAACAACGGCAGUGGUGGCUGAAAUCGAGCUCGCUGUUGUCCAGGCCCUGCACCCAAGGGAUGGCAUCUGCCUUCAGGGGAUGCAUUUCCUACUUCGCACGAGGGCACCUGAGUUAAUAGCAGCCUCUGGCACUGGCGCCGAGUGGCCCACACUCACUCCCCUGGUACAGAUCAGCUCUGCCAUUCUUCCACAUUCGCCUGGACCUUCCUUCUCCCUGUGGAUCUUACCCCUCUGACCUAGGCUCCAAAAGUCAGGAACACGGCCGGUGAUCAUGAGUCGCCCCCCUGCCUGCCAGGGGUCGCAGCCCACUGUAAGCAACUCGACCCCCCACCUCGCGGCUUCUGGCCUUACCCAGCCUGCCCUGCCCUCAGGAGUUCCAGCCUCUUUGCUCAAGCUUCUCUGGAGGACCAACACCUUCCACCGGCUCUUGAGAACUCCCCUCUCCCCACCAGACCCAGGAUUAGGAGUUCAGACACCCCACCAGGCCCCUUCCCACCUCCACCCCUGCUCCGCCCAGGGUCCUGUUUACCUGGGAUGGGCCCCUGCAGCCUCCCUACCACGCUCAGUACACACACGUGUGCCCUGUCACGGGGCGGAGGUUCCUGUGUAAACACUCUCCAUCUGGACCUCACACACACACACACCCACAUGCUCACAGUGCAUAGAUUACAUACACACGCGUGGGCCUAGUCUUUCCUUCCCUUCGCACCUGCCUGGGGGUUGUCUGUGGUUAAAUCUGACUACGAGACAGACCCCUGAGCAUAAUUACACACCUCAACCAAGCCGGGAGGCCCAGCAACACAGGUGCAUCUGCCUUGUGGACACUGCGUUCCAGAAACUGUGAGCCUCUUAGGGUCCCCUUGAGCAUGACAGGUUGAGGCCAGGGGCUCAGCAACUCUGGGUUUCAGGGAAGGUGGGGGAAACUCAAUGGUGAGUCAGGAGACCAGGGAAGGAAGAAAAGCUUGGGCAGAGAGCCCCCUGGAAGCUCCUCUGGCCUGAUUUCAUGGGAAAGGCAAAGAAAUGUUUCCUGCUCACCUCUCGGUACCAUGGUGUUCACGGUCUCCUGUGAGGAGGUUAUGCUGGGUGGUCUUCCAGGGGCUGAGGGCCCCUGGGGGGAUACCCCGACCGUGCACACAUGGAAGGAGGAUGAGAACAGGGCUCCUGAUGGCAGUCCCCACGCUGGCUGCCUCCCUUCCUGCAGGAGGUGAGGGGCAAGCUCUGCGGACGUCUGGUGGAACCGCAUGGUGGAGAAGGGAACAGCCAGUGCAAAAGCCCUGAGGCAGGACGGUGAGCUCGCAGGCCAGGGGGCUGUGAGUCAGAACAGGCAUGGGGCCAGGGCCCCUCAGCGCAUCCGGUCCGUGUGAGGACUCUGGCUAUCCUGCAGGAGGUAGGAACUCUGGGAGGGAUUUGUGCAGGGGAGGAAGGACUCGCUUUUAUCUGGACCCUGUCCUCUUCUGGCCGUGGGAGCAGGCUGCAGGGACAGGGCAGGGGUGCGAGCAGAGAGACCACUUAGGCCUUAUCAGCUUUAAGAUCCAGUGCCCACAGCUUCAGGACCCAGAUUUCAGGGUCCCGAGGAAGUGCAGGCAGG
Molecule: long non-coding RNA, 2986 nt
Filed under: Canis lupus familiaris (dog)
Lineage: Eukaryota; Metazoa; Chordata; Mammalia; Carnivora; Canidae
Description: lncRNA (ENSCAFG00000054161.1, ENSCAFG00805000279.1)
Source: RNAcentral